Molecule: ribosomal RNA, 361 nt
Filed under: Cemocotyle trachuri
Lineage: Eukaryota; Metazoa; Platyhelminthes; Monogenea; Mazocraeidea; Heteraxinidae
Description: eukaryotic LSU rRNA
Rfam family: Eukaryotic large subunit ribosomal RNA
Source: RNAcentral
CNAUAAANAUUCAAUAAGCGGUGGAAAAGAAACUAAACCAGGAUUCCCCUAGUAACGGCGAGUGAACAGGGGAUUAGCCCAGCACCGAAGUCUGUGUCCGCUUGGGCACUAGACAAUGUGGUGUUUAGGUUGGCGCUUUUGAGUGUUACUCCAUUUAAAGUCCAUUCUUGAAUAUGGCUAAUAGAUUGGCCCGAAGAGGGUGAAAGGCCCGUGUGGAUGGAGUGAUGCUUGACUGUGCUAGCUGGAAGAGUCGGGUUGUUUGAGAACGCAGCCCAAAGUUGGUGGUAAACUACCAUCUAAGGCUAAAUACUGGCACGAGUCCGANAACGAACAAGUACCGUGAGGGAAAAGUUGAAAAGUA